UGCUGCAUGGUUGUCGUCAGCUCGUGCCGUGAGGUGUCCGGGUUAAGUCCCAUAACGAGCGCAACCCUUACCGUUAGUUGCCAUCAGGUAAAGCUGGGGACUCUGGCGGGACUGCCACCGUAAGGUGAGAGGAAGGUGGGGAUGACGUCAAAUCAGCACGGCCCUUAUGUCCAGGGCUACACACGUGUUACAAUGGCCGGUACAGAGGGCAGCUACCCGCGAGGGGAUGCGAAUCUUGAAAGCCGGUCUCAGUUCGGAUUGGAGUCUGCAAUUCGACUCCAUGAAGUUGGAUUCGCUAGUAAUCGCGCAUCAGCCAUGGCGCGGUGAAUACGUUCCCGGGCCUU
RNAcentral lists this ribosomal RNA (344 nucleotides) under uncultured Sphingobacteriales bacterium. RNAcentral describes it as "bacterial SSU rRNA". It matches the Rfam family "Bacterial small subunit ribosomal RNA", at positions 1039 to 1382 of the family's 1533-position model. Lineage: Bacteria; Pseudomonadati; Bacteroidota; Sphingobacteriia; Sphingobacteriales. The record is from RNAcentral.